AGAAUCAACGCUGGCGGCGUGCCUAACACAUGCAAGUCGAACGAGAAAGUGGAGCAAUCCAUUAGUAAAGUGGCGCACGGGUGAGUAACACGUGACUAACCUACCCUUGAGUGGGGGAUAACCUAGGGAAACCCGGGCUAAUACCGCAUAAUACCUUCGGGUCAAAGGAGCAAUUCGCUUAAGGAGGGGGUCGCGGCCGAUUAGUUAGUUGGCGGGGUAAUGGCCCACCAAGACGAUGAUCGGUAUCC
RNAcentral lists this ribosomal RNA (248 nucleotides) under uncultured bacterium. Its description in RNAcentral is "partial small subunit ribosomal RNA". It matches the Rfam family "Bacterial small subunit ribosomal RNA", at positions 26 to 288 of the family's 1533-position model. The record is from RNAcentral.